GCCACAACAUCAUUAGCAAACUAAGCAAUAACAGUGUGAAACAGUGUCAUGGCACAUUUUUAGGAUUAAAAUUAAAUUAGACGGUGUAUGGAGCAGAGAUGUGAGAGAUAAGAGGAAAAAGCAUAGAAAACACACAUCUGCAUCUCAAACAAUUUAACAUUGCCACUGGGUGUUAAAAUACAUAGACCAGAUUCUCUAGGCUGUUGAUUUGGCUGGG
Non-coding RNA from Pelobates cultripes (western spadefoot toad), 217 nucleotides. The record is from the annotation of a GenBank genome assembly. NCBI's taxonomy places the organism in Eukaryota, Metazoa, Chordata, Amphibia, Anura, Pelobatidae.